GUUUCUAUGGUGAAAUUGGUAGACACGAAAGACUCAAAAUCUUUUACUCUUAGAGUGUGCUGGUUCAAGUCCGGCUAGAAACA
The sequence is a transfer RNA, 83 nucleotides long. It matches the Rfam family "tRNA". From Rfam's summary of the family: Transfer RNA (tRNA) molecules are approximately 80 nucleotides in length. Their secondary structure includes four short double-helical elements and three loops (D, anti-codon, and T loops). The record is from Rfam.